This 253-nucleotide ribosomal RNA is filed under the name uncultured bacterium. RNAcentral's name for it is "partial 16S ribosomal RNA". It matches the Rfam family "Bacterial small subunit ribosomal RNA", at positions 524 to 776 of the family's 1533-position model. The record is from RNAcentral.
UACGUAGGUGACAAGCGUUGUUCGGAAUUACUGGGCGUAAAGGGCGCGUAGGCGGCUCGACAAGUCCCGCGUGAAAGCCCCCGGCUCAACUGGGGAACUGCGCGGGAAACUGUCGGACUUGAGUUCGGGAGAGGGAAGCGGAAUUCCGGGUGUAGCGGUGAAAUGCGUAGAUAUCCGGAGGAACACCGGUGGCGAAGGCGGCUUCCUGGACCGACACUGACGCUGAGGCGCGAAAGCUAGGGGAGCAAACGGG